ACGCAACCUCAGCUCAGGCGGGGCUACCCGCUGAGUUUAAGCAUAUCAAUAAGCGGAGGAAAAGAAACUAACAAGGAUUCCCCUA
RNAcentral lists this ribosomal RNA (85 nucleotides) under Bikinia aciculifera. RNAcentral describes it as "partial 28S ribosomal RNA". It matches the Rfam family "Eukaryotic large subunit ribosomal RNA", at positions 1 to 82 of the family's 3401-position model. The record is from RNAcentral. Lineage: Eukaryota; Viridiplantae; Streptophyta; Magnoliopsida; Fabales; Fabaceae.